Molecule: ribosomal RNA, 410 nt
Filed under: Micrococcus sp. S2.1
Lineage: Bacteria; Bacillati; Actinomycetota; Actinomycetes; Micrococcales; Micrococcaceae
Description: bacterial SSU rRNA
Rfam family: Bacterial small subunit ribosomal RNA
Source: RNAcentral
UGGAUUAGUGGCGAACGGGUGAGUAACACGUGAGUAACCUGCCCUUGACUCUGGGAUAAGCCCGGGAAACUGGGUCUAAUACCGGAUAGGAGCGCCUGUCGCAUGACGGGUGCUGGAAAGAUCUUUCGGUCAUGGAUGGACUCGCGGCCUAUCAGCUUGUUGGUGAGGUAAUGGCUCACCAAGGCGACGACGGGUAGCCGGCCUGAGAGGGUGACCGGCCACACUGGGACUGAGACACGGCCCAGACUCCUACGGGAGGCAGCAGUGGGGAAUAUUGCACAAUGGGCGGAAGCCUGAUGCAGCGACGCCGCGUGAGGGAUGACGGCCUUCGGGUUGUAAACCUCUUUCAGUAGGGAAGAAGCGAAAGUGACGGUACCUGCAGAAGAAGCACCGGCUAACUACGUGCCAGC